This 121-nucleotide small nucleolar RNA is filed under the name Echinops telfairi (small Madagascar hedgehog). RNAcentral describes it as "Small nucleolar RNA SNORA61 (ENSETEG00000025311.1)". The record is from RNAcentral. Lineage: Eukaryota; Metazoa; Chordata; Mammalia; Afrosoricida; Tenrecidae.
AUCCUCCAGAUUCCUUACUUCUCAGAUCUAGAUAUUGGUCUAAGAGGCUGAAAAAGGAGGCAAAGUAAAUCUAAAGUGGACUUGGAGUUUUUAAUGACACACGGGUUCAUUUCAGAUAUUA